GUAUAUGUAUACAUCUAUAUGGGUCUCUCUUUCUCUCUCUCUCUCUCUAUAUAUAUAUAUAGAAAAAACUGACUCUUUCUGAGAGAGAGAGAGAGAGAAAGAGAGAUUUAUUUGAUGAGAAAAUGUG
RNAcentral lists this microRNA precursor (127 nucleotides) under Marmota monax (woodchuck). Lineage: Eukaryota; Metazoa; Chordata; Mammalia; Rodentia; Sciuridae. The record is from RNAcentral.